UGCGAACUCCUACGGGAGGCAGCAGUGGGGAAUUUUGGACAAUGGGCGCAAGCCUGAUCCAGCCAUGCCGCGUGUCUGAAGAAGGCCUUCGGGUUGUAAAGGACUUUUGUUAGGGAAGAAAAGGAUAGUGUUAAUACCAUUAUCUGCUGACGGUACCUAAAGAAUAAGCACCGGCUAACUACGUGCCAGCAGCCGCGGUAAUACGUAGGGUGCGAGCGUUAAUCGGAAUUACUGGGCGUAAAGCGAGCGCAGACGGUUUAUUAAGCAAGAUGUGAAAUCCCCGAGCUUAACUUGGGAACUGCGUUUUGAACUGGUAAGCUAGAGUAUGUCAGAGGGGGGUAGAAUUCCACGUGUAGCAGUGAAAUGCGUAGAGAUGUGGAGGAAUACCGAUGGCGAAGGCAGCCCCCUGGGAUAAUACUGACGUUCAUGCUCGAAAGCGUGGGUAGCAAACAGGAUUAGAUACCCUUGUAGUCCU
RNAcentral lists this ribosomal RNA (475 nucleotides) under uncultured bacterium. RNAcentral describes it as "bacterial SSU rRNA". It matches the Rfam family "Bacterial small subunit ribosomal RNA", at positions 330 to 797 of the family's 1533-position model. The record is from RNAcentral.